RNAcentral lists this ribosomal RNA (253 nucleotides) under uncultured bacterium. RNAcentral describes it as "partial 16S ribosomal RNA". It matches the Rfam family "Bacterial small subunit ribosomal RNA", at positions 524 to 776 of the family's 1533-position model. The record is from RNAcentral.
UACGUAGGGUGCGAGCGUUGAUCGGAAUUACUGGGCGUAAAGCGUGCGCAGGCGGUUUUGCAAGCCGGAUGUGAAAUCCCCGGGCUUAACCUGGGAAUGGCAUUUGGGACUGCAAGGCUGGAGUGCGGCAGAGGAGACUGGAAUUCCUGGUGUAGCAGUGAAAUGCGUAGAUAUCAGGAGGAACACCGAUGGCGAAGGCAGGUCUCUGGGCUGACACUGACGCUCAGGCACGAAAGCGUGGGGAGCAAACAGG